GAAAGGAAAGGAAAAGAAAAGGGAAAAACACUAAUAAAAUGCAAUUUGAUUUAAAACACUAUGGUUAUUUUGCUGUAUUAUACAAUAUAAUUAUGAACAAAUCCAACUUGUAAAUUAAAAUGAGUAGUAUUGCUUUGGUUAUAUCCAAUCUUUAUAGAAAAGGUGAUAAAAUAACUUCCAAACCCAAUGAUUUUAACGUAAAUAAGUUUUAUUGAACUCUUUUAUCUUUGUGAGUAUGUGCUGUUAAUGUAAUGCAUUUUUACAUACUGAUAAUGUAUGCUGCUGUGUUUGGUGUGUUAUUCUGAAUAACAGUAGCCUUGGGAUCUGCCACGCAUGUAGGCUGGAAAUACAUCCUUGUGGGUGAUACGCUUAUGAAGCACCCAGGUAUUCAGUUAUUCUCAGAUAAUCACUGAAUUCCACAUGUGGAGGGCAUCACUGUGCAUGGAUCGCUAGGCUACCAAUAAAUAAUGCACCUGACCUAAGCAUUCUCUGGCUUUUCCAGGUGAGAAAGCACCUGGCCUGAAGAACACUGAACAUUUCAUGCCAAGCAAAAGUUUUAUCUGCUUACUGAGUUGUGAACUGUUUUGCUGGAAAGUUUAAUGGCCACAGGAGGUCGGGGUUUCUGAAGUUCCAAACAAUAUUACCCAGAUUGAGGAAUUUAGGCUAAAUCUUGGUAGAUCGAAUUGUUUUUUUGUGUAUCUUUGAAACAUGAUUCAAGAAAGACUGUGGAUGGGCCCGUGCCAUAAUGCUGGCCAGUGACCACAAGCCCUUCCAGGCAAUCCCAAGCAUGUUCAUCCUUCAGCAUCUUCAUUUAUUUACCACUGGCGAAGGUUGUCAGCCUAAGGGUAAAAGAUAUGCCAAAGAAUGUUUGCUUUAUUACUACCCCAGUACACAUAGCAAUUUGUUAAUUUACUUAUUUACUAAUGUAGAACUGGCUUUAGGACGUGGUAUUGCAAAGAUCCUGCUGCCAGGAAAGCACAUGCACAAAAACUUAAAAUUAAAAAGUUAAAAAAACUUUGAAAUUCUUACUACUGCUUUAAAGUCAGUGAAUGCAGCCCUUACUAAAAAGCAAACAUAUUUGUAAAGUUCAAGUGUUUCCUUAGGUAUAAAAUAAUACUUCUAUUGGCUUGAGUUAAAAUUUUUUGUUUGUUUGUUUGUUUGUUUUUGUUUUGUUUUGUUUUGUUUUGGUUAUUGAAAACAUCUCUGAGAGUUUUAUGUGAGAGACUUUUGCUUGACACUGUAUUGCAUUGCAUUGUGUAGUAUUCACCACAGUACUUUAAGCACUUUUUUUCUAUUUUGAUGUAACUUACUGCUUUUUUGUGUGUGUUUAUUUAUUUAUUUGUUGGCAAAGAGUGGAUCAAAAGUUUACGUAAGGUGGUAUUCAGAUUCUUUAACACAGACAUGGUGGGCCUGUUCAUCUCCCUGAGGUUGCUGAGUUGUCUGUGCAGAGCUGCCAGUCAUGACACAAGGCAUUUGGGUGAGCUGUUCAUCUGCAGAGUGGCAGCUGGAGGCCUGCAGGGAUACCAUAUGGUGCCUAUAAUGGCACUGCUCGCACUUUAAAGCAGUGAGAGGUUAGAAAACAGUGACAUAGCCUGCUUGUCUGUGCCUGUAUUAGCAGGUGGCAUGGAAUGAGGAGUGCAGCUCCCAGUGUAUACCUUACAAGUAUUUUGAUGAUUCAUUUCAGAUGAGAUCCAAUCUUGUCACAUGGGCUGGUCUUGCAUUAGCAGCUGCUAUAUGUUCCUGCACCAGAUCUGCUGUUUCAGCGUUGAAUGGAGCUCUGUUCACCAGGACUUGUACACAGUGCAAAGCAAAGCCUGGUGUCAGUUAAGCGAGUGUGCCUCUCCCUGUAGGGCCUACCAAAAGACUUCUGAUGUCUGCAGCAGCACUGGGCUUUCAGGGUGGCAACUGGAGUCAAUAAGAAUUAUGCUCAGAAUAAAGAAAGUGUCCUAUGAUACAGAAGGUGUACCACAAUGUGGACUGAAGGAAAUUCAAAUAUUUUGAGGAAAAGAAUCACUGAAGUGGCCUGAAAGCUGAAACAUCCUGUCAUUACCAACCCACUGAAGCAGUUUGAGAUCACAGUCAAAAAGACCCUGAUACUCCCAGGUGUGUGCGUAUUCUGGAAGCCUUGGGAUAGACAAAGUACACAUUCACAUCCUGCUGCUCUUGCACUUGUAUAUUCUUUCAUA
Molecule: long non-coding RNA, 2186 nt
Organism: Centrocercus urophasianus (Greater sage-grouse)
Lineage: Eukaryota; Metazoa; Chordata; Aves; Galliformes; Phasianidae
Exons: 3
Source: RefSeq, a predicted model, not a curated record